UUUUAAUGACCAAUAUAAAUUCAUGUUUUUUCACAUCGAGACUCCAAAUCAGUUGAAAUAUGAGUCAAACGGGUUAGAGUCCACAUUAUGUCGUAUCAAAGAUUAAAAAUUAUCAGGUCAAGGAUCUGUCUAGCCAUAUGCUUUAGUCUAAUGUUUAAAGUUUUCGUUGAGUUUAGUAGCGUGUGUUUGUAAACUAAGUAUGACAUUGAAGUGAUUGGUUCUUUGAUUGCCUCUUCAAGUGAGGUGUGAGUUGAUAUUAAUUUGUUCACUUUUUUAAAGUCGCAUAAAACACGCCCUAUACCCUCGAAUUAGUAAAGUCCCUCACCGGUAGGAGGGUAGCAAACUUAAUGAUUAAGGCUUUCUCUUAAAAACAGAAAACAAAAAUGUAGCUUUGAUCUCUUAUGUUCUAUAGUCGCAUGAUCUUACUUUCUUUUUUUUUUUUUUUUUUAAUUUGGAUAAAUUUUGGCAUCAACAAUAUGUGUUUUCCAUUUUUGAAGUUAUGGUUCUAGUUAUGAAACUUGAAAUAUGCACCAUCACUAGAUUAGCAAUAAAUAAAAGGAAUAUCAAAACCCCUCUCUUAUAUUUUUUUUCCCCCUCUGUCCUUUUGUUUGUGAAAUAGCGAAACUGUUACAAAAUUAUCAAAUGAUUUUCUGCAACUAAAAACUUAAAAGUUGGCUUAACUUUACUUUAAAAUAACAAGACAAAAACAAGAAAAGAAAAAAAAAAGAGUUUUGAUGACCACAAUUUUUCCCCACCCCCUCUUUUACUUUUAUUUUGUGAUCUUUCUCUUUUGUUACAUUAGAAGGAAAGAGACUUUGGGGUUUCGAUCCUGGGUGCCAAGUAGGAGGAAGGAGGAGGGCCACAACGACUAUGGUAAUCCUGCUCGACUUAUUUUGUGAUCUUUUACUUCAACUUUCUUAUUGGAUAGAUCAUUUCAUUUUCC
RNAcentral lists this long non-coding RNA (943 nucleotides) under Prunus persica (peach). RNAcentral's name for it is "long non-coding RNA (PPER_LNC005406)". Lineage: Eukaryota; Viridiplantae; Streptophyta; Magnoliopsida; Rosales; Rosaceae. The record is from RNAcentral.